GUGUUAGUCAGCAUCUGUCACUGCGACAAACACUGGGACAAUAGCUUAUACAGAGGAAAGCAUCGCUGUGGUCCGUACUUUCAGAGGGUAUGGUCCCUGGCUGAUUAACCCCACUCCUUCGGCAAAGGCAGGAUUGUACGCCAAAGCAAAACCACCCACCAGACGGCAGGGGGAAAGGAAGGCAGAGAAAAGAGACUAAAGUCCCAUUAUCUCCUUCAAAACCACAUUUCCAAAGGCCUAGCGUCCUCUAUCAGGUCUUGGCUCCUGAAGGUGGGUCACACUGUGCCCCAAACUCCACCACGUGGAUCUCUAAGGGACACUGAAAACCCAAAUGACAGCGACGCCCAACAUCGCAGAAACAGGAGUCUCUUCAGAGUGGAAACCUCCACGGGCUGCUUCAGAACUGACGGAUUGCAGGUUCUGGGAAUUGUCAGAUUACUUGGCUUACAUGGCAAUUUCCCUGACCCUCCAAGUCAUCCUUCUGGCCCUCGACAAUCUAUUUCUAAACCAAUGAGUCCUUACAUGUCAAAGAACAGGCAUGAUCCAGAUAGGAACAGACGUGUUCCUGGUAGAACAGCAAGAUGACAUGUGGACAUAAGCAUCAUCCUUUUCUCGGCCAAGCUUUGGAUCAGCCCUGGAGCUACAAUGGACGGCAGGGGACUUCUAAUGGAUCACUUAGAUGGAAGAGAUAACCUAUAAGCCACCGAACACAUGUCCUCUACCCAUGUCUCGGGACAAUCGAGCCGACUGUGGGAACAAGACAGAAGCAUGAGUGAGCGGGCACAGGGUACGACAGAGGGAGGCUGCGUGAGCGUCUCCCAGAGACCACUGGAGACUGAGGGUCAGAGAUGACGCAUGGGAAGCUACUUGUUUACUAGUCAAGAGGACCAUAGGAGAGGGCAGGGCUUCCCAGAGAGUGUCUCUGAGGAAUGGAGCAAGGCCAGACUUUGUGCAGAAAAACACACAUCAUCCAGCGCCAGAGGAGGCUUCACCCGCCUCAGCUGAACUGUCCUGUGAUGAAGAGCCUUGGCUUUCACAAAGCCCCCAAGAAAGAGAGGCAGCUCCAUCCUCAUUCCUUUCUUUUUGAAUGGCAUCUCGUGUUACUCAGCUGACCUCAAUCCCACUUAUGUAGACAAGGAUGACUUUGAAAUCCUGACGCUCUUGCUUUCGUCUCCCGACUCCUAGGAUUACAGGUGUGCUCCGCCACACCUAGCCAGUGAAGCACUGAGGAUCGAGGUCACGUCUUUGUGCAUAGCACUCUGCCAACCGAGUGGCAUCCUCAGCUCCAUUCCCAUUCUCUUUCUACCCGAGUUUUCAUAACUAAUGCUUUGCAUUUGAUCAGUGCCAACUCUUUGCAAGCCCAGCCCCUGAACUGUUGAUUUCUGGCUGGAACACAACUGAUGUGGAAAUCCCCUCUUUGUGCUGUCAUUGCUAUUAAUAAAUAAAGAAACUGCCUUGGCCUGUUGAUAGGGCAGAACUUAGGUAAGUGGAGAAAACUGGACUGAACGCUGGGAGGAAGAAGGCGGAGUCAGGGAACGUCAUGGAGCCACUACCUCUGGAGAUAGACGUGUUGAAACGUUGCUGGUAGGCCACGACCUCGUGGUAGUACACAGAUUAAUGGAGAUGGGCUAAAUUAAUAA
Myodes glareolus (Bank vole) is the source of this 1640-nucleotide long non-coding RNA. RefSeq lists it as uncharacterized. Lineage: Eukaryota; Metazoa; Chordata; Mammalia; Rodentia; Cricetidae. The record is from RefSeq and is a predicted model, not a curated record.